This 25-nucleotide ribosomal RNA is filed under the name Cronartium comandrae. Its description in RNAcentral is "5.8S ribosomal RNA". The record is from RNAcentral. Lineage: Eukaryota; Fungi; Basidiomycota; Pucciniomycetes; Pucciniales; Coleosporiaceae.
AGGUACACCUGUUUGAGUGUCAUGA